UAGAGUUUGAUUYUGGCUCAGGACGAACGCGGCGGCGUGCUUAACACAUGCAAGUCGAGCGGUAAGGCCCUUUCGGGGGUACACGAGCGGCGAACGGGUGAGUAACACGUGGGUGACCUGCCCUUAGCUCUGGGAUAAGCCUGGGAAACUGGGUCUAAUACCGGAUAUGACUUCACGGUGCAUGCCGUGGGGUGGAAAGCCUUGUGCGGCUAGGGAUGGGCCCGCGGCCUAUCAGCUUGUUGGUGGGGUGAUGGCCUACCAAGGCGACGACGGGUAGCCGGCCUGAGAGGGCGACCGGCCACACUGGGACUGAGACACGGCCCAGACUCCUACGGGAGGCAGCAGUGGGGAAUCUUGCGCAAUGGGCGAAAGCCUGACGCAGCGACGCCGCGCGAGGGAUGACGGCCUUCGGGUUGUAAACCUCUUUCAGCUCCGACGAAGCGAGAGUGACGGUAGGAGCAGAAGAAGCACCGGCCAACAACGUGCCAGCAGCCGCGGUAAUACGUAGGGUGCAAGCGUUGUCCGGAAUCAUUGGGCGUAAAGAGCUCGUAGGCGGUCUGUCACGUCGGCUGUGAAAACUCGGGGCUCAACUCCGAGCGUGCAGUCGAUACGGGCAGACUAGAGUUCGGCAGGGGAGACUGGAAUUCCUGGUGUAGCGGUGAAAUGCGCAGAUAUCAGGAGGAACACCGGUGGCGAAGGCGGGUCUCCGGGCCGAUACUGACGCUGAGGAGCGAAAGCGUGGGGAGCGAACAGGAUUAGAUACCCUGGUAGUCCACGCCGUAAACGUUGGGCGCUAGGUGUGGGAUCCCUUCCACGGGUUCCGUGCCGCAGCUAACGCAUUAAGCGCCCCGCCUGGGGAGUACGGCCGCAAGGCUAAAACUCAAAUGAAUUGACGGGG
Molecule: ribosomal RNA, 898 nt
Filed under: uncultured Actinomycetes bacterium
Lineage: Bacteria; Bacillati; Actinomycetota; Actinomycetes
Description: bacterial SSU rRNA
Rfam family: Bacterial small subunit ribosomal RNA
Source: RNAcentral